Molecule: unclassified non-coding RNA, 130 nt
Filed under: uncultured fungus
Lineage: Eukaryota; Fungi
Description: sequence contains ITS2, 28S rRNA gene
Rfam family: Eukaryotic large subunit ribosomal RNA (bases 74-130)
Source: RNAcentral
UCUCAUUGACNNUUGAUGGUGUUCCGGUCNNCNNCUCUCUAUGGGGUGGUUGGCUUGACCCACAACAUGACCUUGACCUCAAAUCGGGUGAGACUACCCGCUGAACUUAAGCAUAUCAAUAAGCGGAGGA